GAAACGGUGGCUAAUACCGCAUAACGUCGCAAGACCAAAGAGGGGGACCUUCGGGCCUCUUGCCAUCAGAUGUGCCCAGAUGGGAUUAGCUUGUUGGUGAGGUAACGGCUCACCAAGGCGACGAUCCCUAGCUGGUCUGAGAGGAUGACCAGCCACACUGGAACUGAGACACGGUCCAGACUCCUACGGGAGGCAGCAGUGGGGAAUAUUGCACAAUGGGCGCAAGCCUGAUGCAGCCAUGCCGCGUGUAUGAAGAAGGCCUUCGGGUUGUAAAGUACUUUCAGCGGGGAGGAAGGUGUUGUGGUUAAUAACCGCAGCAAUUGACGUUACCCGCAGAAGAAGCACCGGCUAACUCCGUGCCAGCAGCCGCGGUAAUACGGAGGGUGCAAGCGUUAAUCGGAAUUACUGGGCGUAAAGCGCACGCAGGCGGUCUGUCAAGUCGGAUGUGAAAUCCCCGGGCUCAACCUGGGAACUGCAUUCGAAACUGGCAGGCUUGAGUCUUGUAGAGGGGGGUAGAAUUCCAGGUGUAGCGGUGAAAUGCGUAGAGAUCUGGAGGAAUACCGGUGGCGAAGGCGGCCCCCUGGACAAAGACUGACGCUCAGGUGCGAAAGCGUGGGGAGCAAACAGGAUUAGAUACCCUGGUAGUCCACGCCGUAAACGAUGUCUACUUGGAGGUUGUGCCCUUGAGGCGUGGCUUCCGGAGCUAACGCGUUAAGUAGACCGCCUGGGGAGUACGGCCGCAAGGUUAAAACUCAAAUGAAUUGACGGGGGCCCGCACAAGCGGUGGAGCAUGUGGUUUAAUUCGAUGCAACGCGAAGAACCUUACCUGGUCUUGACAUCCACAGAACUUUCCAGAGAUGGAUUGGUGCCUUCGGGAACUGUGAGACAGGUGCUGCAUGGCUGUCGUCAGCUCGUGUUGUGAAAUGUUGGGUUAAGUCCCGCAACGAGCGCAAC
This 954-nucleotide ribosomal RNA is filed under the name Salmonella enterica subsp. enterica. RNAcentral describes it as "bacterial SSU rRNA". It matches the Rfam family "Bacterial small subunit ribosomal RNA", at positions 153 to 1102 of the family's 1533-position model. The record is from RNAcentral. Lineage: Bacteria; Pseudomonadati; Pseudomonadota; Gammaproteobacteria; Enterobacterales; Enterobacteriaceae.